UAAUUGCCAACCUGAUGACUGGCGGCUGAGGAGUGGGGUGAUGAUGCCACUGGCAGAAGCAGGCGCCCUGGCCCAAGGAGGAGGCCCUUCAGCAACGGAGUGGGCCUGCAUUCUGCGGAGGGUGAGACUGAGGUGGCUGCAGUCAAAGGAGAAGGGGGCAGGGGUUUGUUGAGGCUGUGACCGUGGGAAAGCGCUUCUCCAGGGCUUCCCUCAGCUUCAAGGAGAAAGAGUUCAGAGGCCCUGAGGGGAUGAAGGGACUUGUGAAGGGGCUUCAGGGGGAUGGGUUGGGGGGAAGGAGGUUCCUAUUCUUACUCCCCUUCUGCCUAUGCUCCCCCAAUGUUCCUGUCUCUCCCCUCCCCCACCUUGGCCCCCUCUUUGGCCCCUGUGGCCAAAGUUGUUGAGGAAGGAGGGAGUAGAUGGAGGGCUCUUUUCACCAGAAGACCCCCAGGCACAAGCAGCCCACCUUACUGAUGGUCAGAGCAUCCAGAAGAAGUGGCAAGACUUCAGCUGUCCUCAAAGCAGGAAGACAGAGUGUUUCUGGCAGAAAGAACAGCACAAGCAAAGAUCUGGUAACCCUAGGUGCCUCCAGUUUGAGGGAGGAGAGAGGACACCCCCUCCACCCCAGACAUAGGAAAGCAGUCCACCUGCGCACCAGGGGCAGGACACGUGGCUGGGUGCAGACGCUGGCCCGGAUGUCGCGGAGGACUCGCGGGCCGGUAGAGCGCGCGGCGGCGGCGGCGGCGGCGGCGGCGGGAGGAGACGCAGGUCACGCCCCCUUCCCACCACCUCCCGCCGCCGACGGGGCGCGCGCGCCGAGGAGCCCGGGACAGGUGACUCCUAGAGGACUGCGUCUGCGCCUCCCCCGGCGGGAGUCCCUUCUUCGCGGCCUCUGCCGCCCCCUGCGUCCCCUCCUGGGCUUCCGAGAGUCUGACUCAGCCAAGCCGGCAUCGCUUCGCCUCCUACAACACACCCCGAGCGCGAGAAGAAAUUACAGGAUUGCAGGGGCACGGCUAAUGCGCUCUAAUUACCCACCGCCGCUGUCAUCCGCGGCGCUCCGCGGCGCUGGGCCAACGCGCCGUAAUUAAGACGCCGCUCCCCGGUCCCGGAACCCUCCCUUCGCCACCCUCCACCCACCCACCUCGCGGUCCCCAGGACCACUGGCUGCCAACUCCUGCCGCCCUCUGGGACUGCCCCUCAGUCCCAGGAGAGCUAUGAGGCCUCACUGGGGGCAGAACUUGGGGAGACCGAAGCCGGCCCUUCCACUCCCCUAAACCUACAGUCCUGGAAGGUCUCUGCUGGAAGAGACUGGGAGAGUGGGGAGGGGCCAGGGACCUAUUUCGUUGACAGAAACAGUGAGGUCUAUUGGAAAGUUAGCCUUCAGUGGGAGGAGUGGCAAAGGCACGCAGGGCAGCAGUACCCCCGUUUGGCACUUGAGGCACGGAGAAGGGAAGGGAAGUCCGCCCAGCCAGAACUCCCAGACCCGCUCGUUUAACAGUGGCUUUAUGAGCAGCACGACGGACUCCCUCCCCUGGCGGGGAAAUUACCUUCCUGCGAAGAAAGGUGACAUCCCCGCCACAGACACGGAGGCCCCGCCUGCUGGCCAGCUGUGGCCGCCAUAGGGGAGCUGGUGAGGAGUGAGGUGGCUCUGGCCUCCCAUGUCAGGUAGGGUGAGAGAGGCCCUGAAGAUAGAAGCCAGGCCCGAAGGCCAGAAUUAAAGGGGUAGCUUGGCCAUCAGCUCCUUCCCCCAAAACCAGGCUCAGAGCUCUCCUCUAUCAGCAAUUCUUUCCUGAGGUCCAGGGUGUUGCAAACUCAUGGCCUUGGGCCACGUUUUACCUUCAGUGAGGUUUUGUUUGGCUUGCAAUGAGUACAUGGGUUUUAGGUUGAAUGUGAGAGUCUGCAGACAAUGUGGGUUCUCCGACUGCCCUCCCAGUGAAGGUGGACCUCUGAUUUAGACCGGCCCGCUGGGCCCGUGCCUACAUCCUUUUCCUCAGCGUCAGGAUCUUAGUCCCCAUGAUUGCUGCCCCUUUGUGGUCUGCAUGUUUCUUGGUAAGGGUGCCCAGUCAAGUGUCUCUGGGAGCCCCCUCUUCUCUGUCAUCGUCAGGCUCCCCACUUGCAGUGGCCGUGGUGGCUGCACAUGCUCCCGGAUACCCCUCCAGCACUCCCUUUUGUCAUCUUGAGUUUCAGUCCGUGACUUGGGUGGCACCCUAUCUUCUCCAUCAGGGAUGGUAGCUAUUUUUCUGCCAUGAGACUAGAGGUUGCUUGAGAACAGGAAAUUGGAUCUCUCCCUUCAGGCUGGGAUUUCACUAAGGGCUGGAGAAGGGGGGAAUAUGGGAGGAUUAUCUCCUAUCACAGGGAGCGCUCUGAGGGCAAGGCUGUGUCUCCGAUUCAGACUGACGGUUCCCUGAGGAUGGGGCUGUUUCUCCCCUCCGACUGGGGCUCCCUGAGGAUGGGGCUGUUUCUCCCCUCCGACUGGGGCUCCCUGAGGACAGGGCUGUGUCUCCCCUCAGCCUGGGGCUCCCUGAGUCAGGGCUGUGUCUCCCCUCAGACUGGGGCUCCCUGAGGACGGGGCUGUGUCUGCCUCAGACUGGGAAUCCCUGAAGAUGGGGCCGUGUCUCCCUCAAAGUGGGGCUCCCUCAGGACAGCGUUGUGUCUCCCCUCAGACUGCGGCUCCCUGAGGACGGGGCUGUGUCUCCCUCAGACUGGGGCUCCCUGAAGAAAGGGCUGCUUCUCCCUCAGACUGGAGCUCCCUGAAGAUGGGGCUGUGUCCCCCUCAGACUGGGGCUGCCUGAGGAUGAGGCUGCAUCUCCCCUCAGACUGGAGCUCCCUGAGGGCAGGGCUGUCUCCCCCCUUCAGACUGGGGCCUCCCCCAAAGGACAGGGACUGUGUCUCCCCUGGGACUAGGUUCUUUGUGUCUUCUGCAUCAGACAGAUUCCCAUGAGGACAGGGCUGUCUCCCCCUCCAUCUGGAGCUCCCUGAAGGCAAUGGCCUCUCCCCUCAAAUGGGACAUUUGCACCCCACCCCACCCUCUGGCUCCCCAUGGCGCCCAGGCAUUCCUCCCAGGACACCAUUUGUCACGCUUUGAUGAAUGAAACUUACUAAGAAUAACUCA
This is a long non-coding RNA of Homo sapiens (human), 3109 nucleotides long. Ensembl annotates it as long intergenic non-protein coding RNA 3040. Lineage: Eukaryota; Metazoa; Chordata; Mammalia; Primates; Hominidae. The record is from Ensembl.